RNAcentral lists this ribosomal RNA (433 nucleotides) under uncultured bacterium. Its description in RNAcentral is "partial 16S ribosomal RNA". It matches the Rfam family "Bacterial small subunit ribosomal RNA", at positions 29 to 507 of the family's 1533-position model. The record is from RNAcentral.
AACGAACGCUGGCGGCAUGCCUAACACAUGCAAGUCGAACGAGACCUUCGGGUCUAGUGGCGCACGGGUGCGUAACGCGUGGGAACCUGCCCUUAGGUUCGGAAUAACUCCCCGACAGGGGUGCUAAUACCGGAUAAUGUCUUCGGACCAAAGAUUUAUCGCCUUUGGAUGGGCACGCGUUGGUUUAGCUAGUUGGUAGGGUAAAAGCCUACCACGGCGACGCUCCAUAGCUGGUCUGAGAGGAUGAUCAGCCACACUGAGACUGAGACGCGGCCCAGACUCCUACGGGAGGCAGCAGUGGGGAAUAUUGGACAAUGGGCGAAAGCCUGAUCCAGCAAUGCCGCGUGAGUGAUGAAGGCCUUAGGGUUAUAAAGCUCUUUUACCCGGGAUGAUAAUGACAGUACCGGGAGAAUAAGCUCCGGCUAACUCCGUG